RNAcentral lists this long non-coding RNA (745 nucleotides) under Callithrix jacchus (white-tufted-ear marmoset). Its description in RNAcentral is "lncRNA (ENSCJAG00000079003.1)". The record is from RNAcentral. Lineage: Eukaryota; Metazoa; Chordata; Mammalia; Primates; Cebidae.
CCUCAGAAACCCUGAGACAAAGUCAGAAAGAUCUGGAAAGACCUGCCAGAGGAAAUCUGCCACCCCUCUGGACAAGGAGCCUUCAUCUACAUAAAAGUGGGCUGUCACCAUGCAGCGAGGCUGCCUAACAUGAUGAGGCAAAUUCUGAAAUGAGGGAAGGAAGCCUGAGAUUUGAGCCCCAGCCCUGCCACUUACUACCUGUAAGCCCAGUGAACUUGACCUGGGAGGAGAGGAGCAACCCCAAGGCAAAUGCAGAUGUCUCUGAAGAGUGAAAAUGAGGAAACAUGUCCAGGGGGUUUUAUUUAUCCCCAUCCCUCCUAAAGGCCCGGGUGGUGUGGGACCCCCUCCGGAGAGGUGUAUGCACCUCCCUAGAGCUUACCCAGCCGGGUGCCUGUUCCUUGAUGAGAAUCCACAUGGUGUUGACCUCAGGCUUCUUCAUGGUUCACUCUGUGGCUGGUGGCAUUGGAUCUGCAUCAAGGUGGUCUCGAGGAUGGUCUUCUGAAGGAACUUAGGUGUCUUGGGUCCUGGAAGAUGGGUGACACACGGAUCUAUUUUUUUCCUAUGGUUAUAGACCCUUUCAGCACAACCUUUGUGGCCUUCAGAGCUUUUGUCUUGGUUUCAGUUUUGGGAAGGGCUGGGGCUUCCUUCUUGCUUUCAGCACCAUAUUUGCAGAAGGGAGUGUCUAUCUGACGGCCUGGUGUAGCAGUGCCAUCAGGAGCUGGUCUUCAGUGGAGAAAAUGUACUG